This 845-nucleotide ribosomal RNA is filed under the name Crangonyx grandimanus. RNAcentral describes it as "partial large subunit ribosomal RNA". It matches the Rfam family "Eukaryotic large subunit ribosomal RNA", at positions 121 to 605 of the family's 3401-position model. The record is from RNAcentral. Lineage: Eukaryota; Metazoa; Arthropoda; Malacostraca; Amphipoda; Crangonyctidae.
GGGCCACCUGGCCUGCGGCGGAAUGUUGCGUUAAGGGAAAGGUCAUAUUCAUACCCACCAGUCGCACGAUCUCUAAGUCAGCUACGAAUUGGCUAUCCCGACUAACGGAGGGACUGACUCCACAGAGGGUGUAAGACCCGUGUGGGCGUGCGUUAUAGCUGGUUGGGGUUGGCCUCUUUUCCCGGAGAGUCGCGUUGCUUUGGCAUGCAGCGCUAAUCAGGUCGUAAACUCGAUCUAAGGCUAAAUAUAUCCACAGGCCCGAUAGCGAACAAGUACCGUGAGGGAAAGUUGAAAAGCACUCUGAAGAGAGAGUCAAAAGACCGUGAAACCGCUCAGAGUAUAAGCCCAUGGGGCUCGGAAGGCGAACCGCUGCCAAGUAUUUGGCGACAUGCAGGACGGUCCGUCAGGCAGUGGCAUUCAGUUGAUAUCACGCUGACGUACGGGGCUGAUCUGGUGUCGUGGCCACACGGCCUCGGCACGGUGAAGCCUUUGGUAUGGACGUUCAAGGUUGCAUGUCGAAAGGCGGAACUUGCCCACCACAGCUCGUUGUGUGGUCACCCACAGGCUCAACUGCCGAUCGCUUGUUCACCCCCGCUUAGCAUUCCUUGUGUCACAAAAUGGUUCCCACCGACGGCGGUGUGGGGCCGACACUUCGCGGCGGGGCUAUCAUGUUGAACAGGGCGGCGACCGAGAUAAAACCUGGUAUGAUCCACGGGCGACGAGCCGCUUUCUGGCCAGAUGUGCGUGCAGGCUUCUUCUCAUUGCCGAGAGUUGCCUAACACCAGGCGGUUUGUGUCCUCUACUGCUAAGGGCUUCGAGCCCUUGCGGCAUGGCCUCUCGCCGCA